GGCAGGUGUUGAGUUGGGACCCCAUGUGCCAUAUUGCUUGUCUGUCAGGUUCCUUCUACCUCUGAGAUUUAAUUGAGUUUCUUCAUUUACCUAUCCUCUGUAGUUGUGGUUGGUUUGUUAUUUGACCCAAGAAACUGGAUUUUUUUUUUCCUAUGCCUGUGGAUGUUUUGCCUGCAUGUAUAUCUGUGCACCACAUAUGGUGCCUUUGGAGGUCAAAAGAGGGCAUCCGAUCUCCUGGAAUCUCCUGGAGUUACAGACAGUUGUGAGCUACCCUUUUGAUGCUGGGGCUUCAAAAAGGUUAACUUCUGAGCCAUCUCUUCAACCCUCUGCUCUCAUCUUAAAGAGCAGCCUUCGAAUGUUUAAAAAUACUAGAUUAUCUUCAGUGAAAAACACACAUCCAAUUUAUGAAUAAGGAAGUGUCGAUAGAUGGCUAUAUUGAGGUCAGAAGUGUUCUGUUAGGCAUUGGUGAUUGUUGGUCCAUUCUGCAUCAUUUGUGUGCUUUCAUAAGCUGAAACACUGGGGACAGCUUGGUGGCUUCAGUAGAGGAAUAUGCCAUCAGAAAGACCAGUGUUCUUUACUGAUGUCAUGGGCUGGCUACUUAGCUGGGAGGCUGGCAGCCUAGCCCUCCUUUUUUCCUGGAGGGAACGUACCUCAGCAGUGCUUGUGAAUGUUUGUGUCCUGUGAGCCAGCUGUGUCAGCUUGAAACAAAAGAAUGACACUACACUUCCCUCUCCGCUCUUUUUAUUAUGUAAAGUACAUUCCUUCCUAGCUUCUUGUUUUGGGGCUUUACAGAAAUUACAGGCCAGGUGCCCCCUUGACACUGUUUAAGGGUUCUGAUCUCUUGCUUGCUUUUUAAGAGAGGUGACUGAAGUGUGGCAUCUUGUCUUCCUGUGGCGCUUCUGCUCUGAUUCUUGGUUUAUGUGUUGGCAUUCAUUCCUCAGUGGCAAGACUUGCGUUUCCUGAUGUAUGUAUUUGGUGGGAAGGGUCGAGUUACUGUCAUACGUGAGAGCAAGUUAGGGUAGAGUUUUCUUAGUUCUGUCUUGAGACAUCUGUGGUCGGUAGGAAGCAUCUCUGUAGUACAUGUUUAUAAUAUGGGAGAGCUUUUGAGGAAGCCUUUCUGCGGUCUGUAAUCUAAACACCCGCUGAAUCUCUAGUGUCCCCCAUUGGCAGAUAAAAGGCUGCUGCAUCUGUGCGUUAUCCAGAAC
RNAcentral lists this long non-coding RNA (1205 nucleotides) under Cricetulus griseus (Chinese hamster). Its description in RNAcentral is "lncRNA (ENSCGRG00015035830.1)". The record is from RNAcentral. Lineage: Eukaryota; Metazoa; Chordata; Mammalia; Rodentia; Cricetidae.